Anas platyrhynchos (mallard) is the source of this 3143-nucleotide non-coding RNA. Lineage: Eukaryota; Metazoa; Chordata; Aves; Anseriformes; Anatidae. The record is from RefSeq and is a predicted model, not a curated record.
GCUCUAAAGUGAUAUCUACAGAAAGUUCUCUAUUUCUCAGUACAGAUGAUAAACACCUGCUUAUCAAAAUAGUGCAAAAAGGAACAAAGAAAAGUGCUGUCAACCUGUGUGACCAUUUUCAGAAGCUUCCUCCAGACUGAAAACAAUCUGCAGUACCUGUUUACCCAGCUUCUCUUACAAGCAGAAGUCUUUCUGUACCUACCUGUAUGGACCCGCCCAUGAAAGACACCCUCUGCCACACCUCUUCUCCAGACCUGAUUUGGACAGAAGCGACAGCACCACGAAGCAUCAAUGAGAGCGUUGGAGAAAAUGAACUUCACCGAUUCCUGACUAUCUCAGAUAUCCAUGUGCCAACCAAAUUGUCAGCACACUGCAGAGUUUUAUCAAGGGCCUUAAUCAGAUGUUCAAAGCAGUCUGUCUUCCUUUCUGUGGAGAUUACUAGACGUGUUGCAAACUGCUGAACCGCUGGCAUGGCUGCAGUGCAUAAAGCAGGCCAGGCUCAGCAAUGGUUUGCAGUGUCAGCUCAAACUGUAGAUACAGCGAUGGAAACUCUUGACAAUGAAGAGACAGUUAUGAGAAGUGGGAGACCCGUUCACAAUCAAAGGAGGAGCAGAAGUAACAAAGACUCGUGUUCAGCAAAAAGAUAACCCUGCAAGCAAGCCCAGACCUGUUCAUUAACAGCUAGGAGUGCUUUCAAUCCACACUGAAGAUCACCAGGAGGUCCUCUGGCUAAUAAAGGCAGAACAGUAAAGCAGUACCUCCUGCACUGACUUUUCCAGAGAUUUUAAAAACAAACAAGCACAGACACAGAAGAAGAAAAAAAAAUGCAUCUCUUUGUCUUCCUCAAACUGUCUCCCUCAAACUCAAAGCAGAAGUACAAAUAACAUGAAAUAACAACAGAGUUUAACAUAAACUUUAUAAAUAUAUCUCCAGAAGUAUUCAAUUAUUCAUUCUGGAUUUCAUUUGCCACUUCUAGUUUCUCCUUUUUAAAGCAGAAUUUGAGUUGACUUUUUACAGUGGUAGUGUAAACAGUGCUGAUGAUACUAAAAGACUAUAUUAUUCGUUCAUUAACAAAAGAGACAAAAGGUAAUACAGUGACCUGUAUUGAUGCUACCCCUACAAUAUGUCCCUUCUUCCUAUAAUCUUUUAAAACAAUUGUCUCUUCUUCAUCAAUCUAUUCAGCAGAGUCCAACAACUGACUGUAACUCAGAGAACAGAAGAUUUAGAACAUUAAUCUUGAGACCCUCUGGAUGAUUAUCACUAAAUGAAAAGUUACCCCAUAAUUAAUGUGUUACUGCAUUUUUUAAUCCCAGUUUCUAUUUCAUACAACUCUAAAGAUGACUUUAAGCUACAGUCUGAAUAGAAAAUAAAACUUACAUCUCUGCUGAAGAGCCCAAUCCACAGCGGUUGAUUAUGAAGGGCAGCCUGAACAGCCAGAAAAGCCUGCUGGAACUGAUCUGUGAUGCUAACCAGCUGCAUCUUGCGAUUUAUGCAUGCAGCCAUUGCAUCAUCCCAGGACAAAUUCUUCAGAAUUACUUCGUAUUGAACGUUUUGAUAGCUGAAUGUUUCAUUAAGGACUUGCUCUGUCUGAUUAUCAGCAGCUCCUAUGCCUAAAUAAGAAAUACAGUUAUUAGAUGGUUAAACAAUGGAAUAUAUUCUAAAUUCCCAAUUUCUCUGUAAUAAACAGAAAAAAAACAACACUGUUUAUAUUCCCCUGGAAAAAAUAUCAAAAAUACUUUCUUACGAAGUAGAUUAUGCUAAUGAUUUUAGUUAGGAACAAAUAUCUUUUACACUUUAGACAGAGAAUAUAUAACAGCAAAAAAAGCAGGAAGGACUAUUUUCAGCCACUCUAUUUUUAUCUCUCUCUUAACUUGGCUUCACACAUUUUUUGUGCCAGCUAUUUUUAUUUAACUGCUAAAUAGUGGUAAAAAUUUCAUUUAUUGAAGAAAAAACAUACUCCACAGCUUCAAUCAGAUACAGCAGUGGGAGAAAAUGACUGCUCUCUGCUGCAAGAUAGCAACUGCUAUACUUGAUUCAUUUAUCUCUGUGGAGCCUGUGAAUUUAUGCUUAUGCAAAUCCAAUGGGCCAUAAAACUUGUCUAUACAGAUCUCACAGUGUACAGCACAGUCCCAGAGUUUCUUACUGCCAUCCACACGCAUACUGGGAAUUGAUUUUGUUUCCAUAUGCACUUAAUUAAUUAUAGAAAAUCCACUUUGAAUAGGGAAGGGUGUAAUUUACCGUUUGUGUUCUUAGCACUGAGCCUCGCCAGUUAUCAGCAUCAUUCUGAAGGCAGACAGCUCAGUGAUGCGUUGCAAUUGUAGUUAAUAAAAUAUGCAAACAUUCCCUUGGGUGGUAAAUUAAAGCAUGCAAAGCUAGUAACUCCCCCAAAUUUAUACAUAAUAAAUAAAUACAUUUUUCCCCAAAAAAGGCAGAAGAAACUUGACAUGGAAGCAUAAAAAGGCUUGCUGAGAGAGGAAAAAACACUUCAAAUAAUAAUGUAAAAAUGGCUAAUUGGUAGGCUGACAGAGCCAUUUUUCAAAACACAAGAACAGAGAAAAAUAAAUAUACAUCUGGUAUUUAUGCACUAUUUCCAGCUUUCAGUAGACCAUAAAAGCGAGAAGGCUGAAAUGGACUAUUAGAAUGAAGUUGCUUGUGUCUGCUGCUAAAUGCUUUCACUUGAUAUACAGCCAGCAAAAAAAGAACUAUCGGACCAGAAGAGUAACCACAUAUCAAAGGGUACCAAACCGAAAACAAGUUAGUAAGGGGCAGAACAGUAAAAGUUCGUUUCUGAGAGAGAAAAGACGUAAUUGCUGAUGAUGAAUGUCUCAAGAAGUUGUGCAAAUAACAAAUCAUACCAAGACUUCUUAGAAAUCUGAGUUGUCUUUUUCUCUAGGAUAAAGCUCAAGGCAACUUGGACAGGUCUCAGCUAUCCCUGCAACCUUCUGAGGUCCCUUUCCACACAAGUCACCUUAAGACCCAUAUCCCCAGUGACCGGGAUACAUACUCUGACAGUCCCAAACCCUUUCUCAUUACAUCUUCUACAGUUCUGGCUAGGAGGAAAUGCUUACUAUUUUAGUUAACCCAGACUGAUAAUACACCGAUCUCUGCAGAUCAACUUUCUAUUAAUAAAAAUCUAAUUUUCA